UGGGGAAUAUUGGACAAUGGGCGAAAGCCUGAUCCAGCCAUGCCGCGUGUGUGAAGAAGGUCUUCGGAUUGUAAAGCACUUUAAGUUGGGAGGAAGGGCAGUAAGCGAAUACCUUGCUGUUUUGACGUUACCGACAGAAUAAGCACCGGCUAACUCUGUGCCAGCAGCCGCGGUAAUACAGAGGGUGCAAGCGUUAAUCGGAAUUACUGGGCGUAAAGCGCGCGUAGGUGGUUCGUUAAGUUGAAUGUGAAAGCCCCGGGCUCAACCCGGGAACUGCAUCCGAAACUGGCGGGCUAGAGUAGGGCAGAGGGUGGUGUAAUUUCCUGUGUAGCGGUGAAAUGCGUAGAUAUAGGAAGGAACACCAGUGGCGAAGGCGACCACCUGGGCUCAUACUGACACUGAGGUGCGAAAGCGUGGGGAGCAAACAGG
This 429-nucleotide ribosomal RNA is filed under the name Pseudomonadota bacterium. RNAcentral's name for it is "Proteobacteria bacterium partial 16S ribosomal RNA". It matches the Rfam family "Bacterial small subunit ribosomal RNA", at positions 355 to 776 of the family's 1533-position model. The record is from RNAcentral. Lineage: Bacteria; Pseudomonadati; Pseudomonadota.